AAAACGACUCUCGGCAACGGAUAUCUCGGCUCUCGCAUCGAUGAAGAACGUAGCGAAAUGCGAUACUUUGUGUGAAUUGCAGAAUCCCGUGAACCAUCGAGUCUUUGAACGCAAGUUGCGCCCCAAGCCGUUAGGCCGAGGGCACGCCUGCCUGGGUGUCAC
Molecule: ribosomal RNA, 162 nt
Filed under: Acer tataricum subsp. semenovii
Lineage: Eukaryota; Viridiplantae; Streptophyta; Magnoliopsida; Sapindales; Sapindaceae
Description: 5.8S ribosomal RNA
Rfam family: 5.8S ribosomal RNA
About the family: 5.8S ribosomal RNA (5.8S rRNA) is a component of the large subunit of the eukaryotic ribosome.
Source: RNAcentral